GGACCGAACCGACUAAUGUUGAAAAAUUAGCGGAUGACUUGUGGCUAGGGGUGAAAGGCCAAUCAAACCUGGAGAUAGCUGGUUCUCCCCGAAAGCUAUUUAGGUAGCGCCUCGGACGAAUACUACUGGGGGUAGAGCACUGUUAAGGCUAGGGGGUCAUCCCGACUUACCAACCCUUUGCAAACUCCGAAUACCAGUAAGUACUAUCCGGGAGACACACGGCGGGUGCUAACGUCCGUCGUCAGCCAGGAUGUUGGCUUAGAAGCAGCCAUCAUUUAAAGAAAGCGUAAUAGCUCACUGGUCGAGUCGGCCUGCGCGGAAGAUGUAACGGGGCUAAGUAGUAAACCGAAGCUGCGGCAAUA
RNAcentral lists this ribosomal RNA (362 nucleotides) under Vibrio parahaemolyticus. Its description in RNAcentral is "partial 23S ribosomal RNA". It matches the Rfam family "Bacterial large subunit ribosomal RNA", at positions 771 to 1213 of the family's 2925-position model. Lineage: Bacteria; Pseudomonadati; Pseudomonadota; Gammaproteobacteria; Vibrionales; Vibrionaceae. The record is from RNAcentral.